RNAcentral lists this ribosomal RNA (453 nucleotides) under uncultured bacterium. RNAcentral describes it as "bacterial SSU rRNA". It matches the Rfam family "Bacterial small subunit ribosomal RNA", at positions 30 to 480 of the family's 1533-position model. The record is from RNAcentral.
AUUGAACGCUGGCGGCAUGCUUUACACAUGCAAGUCGAACGGACUUAGGGGCUUGCUCCUGAGUUAGUGGCGAACGGGUGAGUAAUGCAUCGGAACGUACCGUGUAGUGGGGGAUAACGCAGCGAAAGUUGUGCUAAUACCGCAUACGAUCUACGGAUGAAAGCAGGGGAUCGCAAGACCUUGUGCUAUACGAGCGGCCGAUGUCGGAUUAGCUAGUUGGUGAGGUAAAGGCUCACCAAGGCGACGAUCCGUAGCGGGUCUGAGAGGAUGAUCCGCCACACUGGGACUGAGACACGGCCCAGACUCCUACGGGAGGCAGCAGUGGGGAAUUUUGGACAAUGGGCGCAAGCCUGAUCCAGCCAUGCCGCGUGAGUGAAGAAGGCCUCGGUUGUAAGACUCUUUGUCUAGGAGCAAUACCUAACGGCUAACUAUACGUUGGGAGUGAGAGUACCU